GAUGAACGCUGGCGGCGUGCCUAAUACAUGCAAGUCGAGCGAACAGACGAGGAGCUUGCUCCUCUGACGUUAGCGGCGGACGGGUGAGUAACACGUGGAUAACCCACCUAUAAGACUGGGAUCACUUCGGGAAACCGGAGCUAAUACCGGAUAAUAUACUGAACCGCAUGGUUCAAUAGUGAAAGACGGUUUUGCUGUCACUUAUAGAUGGAUCCGCGCCGCAUUAGCUAGUUGGUAAGGUAACGGCUUAGCAAGGCAACGAUGCGUAGACGACCUGAGAGGCGGAUCGGCCACACGGGAGCGGGGACGCGGACCAGACGCCUACGGGAGGGAGCAGUAGGGAAUCGUCCGCAAUAGGCGAAAACAUGGCGGAGCGGCGCGGAGUGAGUGAUGGAGGUCUCCGGUGCGUAAAGCUCUGUUACGAGGGAAAAACAAAUGUGUAAGUAAAUAUGCCCUUCUUGACGGUACCUGGUAAGGAAGCAACGGCUAACUACGUG
RNAcentral lists this ribosomal RNA (497 nucleotides) under uncultured bacterium. Its description in RNAcentral is "partial 16S ribosomal RNA". It matches the Rfam family "Bacterial small subunit ribosomal RNA", at positions 28 to 507 of the family's 1533-position model. The record is from RNAcentral.